UACGAAGGGGGCUAGCGUUGCUCGGAAUCACUGGGCGUAAAGCGCACGUAGGCGGAUUGUUAAGUCAAGGGUGAAAUCCUGGAGCUCAACUCCAGAACUGCCUUUGAUACUGGCGAUCUCGAGUCCGGGAGAGGUGAGUGGAACUGCGAGUGUAGAGGUGAAAUUCGUAGAUAUUCGCAAGAACACCAGUGGCGAAGGCGGCUCACUGGCCCGGUACUGACGCUGAGGUGCGAAAGCGUGGGGAGCAAACAGG
Molecule: ribosomal RNA, 253 nt
Filed under: uncultured bacterium
Lineage: Bacteria
Description: partial 16S ribosomal RNA
Rfam family: Bacterial small subunit ribosomal RNA
Source: RNAcentral